GAGUAGUGGCAGCCAAGGACCGGACCGUGGAGCCAGGCGGGGAGGCGGGAGGGCUGACUUUACA
RNAcentral lists this small RNA (64 nucleotides) under Peromyscus maniculatus bairdii (prairie deer mouse). RNAcentral's name for it is "GRIK4 3 prime UTR element (ENSPEMG00000025035.1)". Lineage: Eukaryota; Metazoa; Chordata; Mammalia; Rodentia; Cricetidae. The record is from RNAcentral.